GGACUUCGUCAGGAGGAGUAGGGGAACGCGCCAUAUUGUAGGAAUUCUCCAGAGCACGCUGCCUCAGAUGAUCAGCAUCAGAGGGCUUGGAGGCAGCUGCGUAAACCUUGGAGCCCGUUUCGUUUUGCCCAACACGUUCAGGGACACCUCCAGGGUUGUGUAUAUAAAAAUCUGUAAGGAAUAAAAACAGAGUUAGAAAAUAUAUAUGUGUAUAAAAAACAUAAAAAGAAAAACAGGCAAAGGAAGACCUUGUCGGUUAAAAGUAUCUUCAAUCGCGUGACCGACAGGCACAGCGAUAGGAUGCAAAAAGGCCAGCUU
RNAcentral lists this long non-coding RNA (318 nucleotides) under Zostera marina. RNAcentral describes it as "long non-coding RNA (ZMAR_LNC005836)". Lineage: Eukaryota; Viridiplantae; Streptophyta; Magnoliopsida; Alismatales; Zosteraceae. The record is from RNAcentral.